RNAcentral lists this long non-coding RNA (262 nucleotides) under Mytilus galloprovincialis (Mediterranean mussel). The record is from RNAcentral. Lineage: Eukaryota; Metazoa; Mollusca; Bivalvia; Mytilida; Mytilidae.
CUGAAUUACAAUAUUUUUGGAAAACAGGGGAUAACAAUGUCUGAGCUCUAUUACUUGUUAUCAUGGUUGGGGUGAUAACGAUGUCUUAGCUCUAUUUAAUAAAUACUGGUAAUUUUAUCCCUCUAUAGAAGGAUGAUCCUUCUAUAAAGGUAUAAACAACAUGCAAAGGGUUUGUUCCCAACCUGAAAAAUGCACAUCAAAUUCUAGGUAAGUUUUCAUGUUCUGUUCAUGUCCGUGACAUUGGACAAUAGGUAUUUUCACA